This 253-nucleotide ribosomal RNA is filed under the name uncultured bacterium. RNAcentral describes it as "partial 16S ribosomal RNA". It matches the Rfam family "Bacterial small subunit ribosomal RNA", at positions 524 to 776 of the family's 1533-position model. The record is from RNAcentral.
UACGGAGGGUGCGAGCGUUAAUCGGAAUUACUGGGCGUAAAGCGUGCGUAGGUGGUUAUUUAAGUCAGAUGUGAAAGCCCUGAGCUUAACUUAGGAAUGGCAUUUGAUACUGGAUAGCUAGAGUUUGGGAGAGGAGAGUGGAAUUUCAGGUGUAGCGGUGAAAUGCGUAGAUAUCUGAAAGAACACCAGUGGCGAAGGCGACUCUCUGGACUAGAACUGACGCUGAGGCACGAAAGCAUGGGGAGCAAACAGG